UACGAAGGGGGCUAGCGUUGUUCGGAAUCACUGGGCGUAAAGGGCGCGUAGGCGGCUUUAUAAGUCGGGGGUGAAAGCCUGUGGCUCAACCACAGAAUUGCCUUCGAUACUGUAGAGCUUGAGACCGGAAGAGGUAAGUGGAACUGCGAGUGUAGAGGUGAAAUUCGUAGAUAUUCGCAAGAACACCAGUGGCGAAGGCGGCUCACUGGCCCGGAACUGACGCUGAGGUGCGAAAGCGUGGGGAGCAAACAGG
This 253-nucleotide ribosomal RNA is filed under the name uncultured bacterium. RNAcentral's name for it is "partial 16S ribosomal RNA". It matches the Rfam family "Bacterial small subunit ribosomal RNA", at positions 524 to 776 of the family's 1533-position model. The record is from RNAcentral.